AAAAAUUGAUCUCAGUAUGCCCAAGUGACGUGGCCUGGUCAAACGGACCAUCGAAGUCAAAAACUUCCACAUCUAGAACUGAAGGUGGUUCUUCCAUUGCAUCAAACUCAAGUAUGUCUGCAAUAUUUCUUCAAAAUAUUUUAACACUUAUAGUUGCAGAAAAUAUGAAGCAAAGAAUCCCACAAGAUAAAGGACUUACCAUUCCAUUGAGGAUUGCUACUUUGGAGCUUAACAGAGCUUGUUCUUGUUUUCCCAUUGCAGGUGAACACUACAUAGGGAUCUGAAAGCCCUGUUGAGUCCAAGGAUGCUAAAUUGAUCCCCUCAAUUAACGCCACAGUAAGAACCCACCC
Molecule: long non-coding RNA, 350 nt
Filed under: Ricinus communis (castor bean)
Lineage: Eukaryota; Viridiplantae; Streptophyta; Magnoliopsida; Malpighiales; Euphorbiaceae
Description: long non-coding RNA (RCOM_LNC000146)
Source: RNAcentral